GAUGAGGAACGUAGCAAAAUGCGAUAAGUAAUGUGAAUUGCAGAAUUCAGUGAAUCAUCGAAUCUUUGAACGCACAUUGCGCCCGCCAGUAUUCUGGCGGGCAUGCCUGUUCGAGCGUCAUUUCAACCCUCAAGCACAGCUUGGUGUUGGGACUCGCGUUAAUUCGCGUUCCUCAAAUUGAUUGGCGGUCACGUCGAGCUUCCAUAGCGUAGUAGUAAAACCCUCGUUACUGGUAAUCGUCGCGGCCACGCCGUUAAACCCCAACUUCUGAAUGUUGACCUCGGAUCAGGUAGGAAUACCCGCUGAACUUAAGCAUAUCAAUAAGCGGAGGA
This 332-nucleotide unclassified non-coding RNA is filed under the name soil metagenome. Its description in RNAcentral is "partial contains 5.8S ribosomal RNA, internal transcribed spacer 2, and large subunit ribosomal RNA". The stretch from base 1 to 120 matches the Rfam family "5.8S ribosomal RNA", at positions 35 to 154 of the family's 154-position model. The record is from RNAcentral.